RNAcentral lists this ribosomal RNA (170 nucleotides) under uncultured Bradyrhizobium sp. RNAcentral's name for it is "partial 16S ribosomal RNA". It matches the Rfam family "Bacterial small subunit ribosomal RNA", at positions 338 to 525 of the family's 1533-position model. The record is from RNAcentral. Lineage: Bacteria; Pseudomonadati; Pseudomonadota; Alphaproteobacteria; Hyphomicrobiales; Nitrobacteraceae.
CCUACGGGAGGCAGCAGUGGGGAAUAUUGGACAAUGGGCGCAAGCCUGAUCCAGCCAUGCCGCGUGAGUGAUGAAGGCCCUAGGGUUGUAAAGCUCUUUUGUGCGGGAAGAUAAUGACGGUAUCCGGAGAAGAAGCCCCGGCUAACUUCGUGCCAGCAGCCGCGGUCAUA